GAUGAACGCUGGCGGCGUGCCUAAUACAUGCAAGUCGAGCGAACGGACGAGAAGCUUGCUUCUCUGAUGUUAGCGGCGGACGGGUGAGUAACACGUGGAUAACCUACCUAUAAGACUGGGAUAACUUCGGGAAACCGGAGCUAAUACCGGAUGAUAUUUUGAACCGCAUGGUUCAAUAGUGAAAGACGGUCUUGCUGUCACUUAUAGAUGGAUCCGCGCCGCAUUAGCUAGUUGGUAAGGUAACGGCUUACCAAGGCAACGAUGCAUAGCCGACCUGAGAGGGGGGUCGGCCACACUGGAACUGCGACACGGUCCAGACUCCUACGGGGGGCAGCAGUAGGGAAUCUUCCGCAAUGGGCGAAAGCCUGACGGAGCAACGCCGCGUGAGUGAUGAAGGUCUUCGGAUCGUAAAACUCUGUUAUUAGGGGAGAACAUAUGUGUAAGUAACUGUGCACAUCUUGACGGUACCUAAUCAGAAAGCCACGGCUAACUACGUG
This 497-nucleotide ribosomal RNA is filed under the name uncultured bacterium. RNAcentral describes it as "partial 16S ribosomal RNA". It matches the Rfam family "Bacterial small subunit ribosomal RNA", at positions 28 to 507 of the family's 1533-position model. The record is from RNAcentral.